RNAcentral lists this ribosomal RNA (490 nucleotides) under uncultured bacterium. Its description in RNAcentral is "partial 16S ribosomal RNA". It matches the Rfam family "Bacterial small subunit ribosomal RNA", at positions 30 to 507 of the family's 1533-position model. The record is from RNAcentral.
AUUGAACGCUGGCGGCAGGCCUAACACAUGCAAGUCGAACGGUAACAGGAAGAAGCUUGCUUCUUUGCUGACGAGGGGCGGACGGGUGAGUAAUGUCUAGGAGACUUCCUGAGGGAGGGGGAUAACUACUGGAAACGGUAGCUAAUACCGCAUAACGUCGCAAGACCAAAGAGGGGGACCUUCGGGCCUCUUGCCAUCUGAUGUGCCCAGAUGGGAUUAGCUAGUAGGUGGGGUAACGGCUCACCUAGGCGACGAUCCCUAGCUGGUCUGAGAGGAUGACCAGCCACACUGGAACUGAGACACGGUCCAGACUCCUACGGGAGGCAGCAGUGGGGAAUAUUGCACAAUGGGCGCAAGCCUGAUGCAGCCAUGCCGCGUGUAUGAAGAAGGCCUUCGGGUUGUAAAGUACUUUCAGCGGGGAGGAAGGGAGUAAAGUUAAUACCUUUACUCAUUGACGUUACCCGCAGAAGAAGCACCGGCUAACUCCGUG